Molecule: ribosomal RNA, 621 nt
Filed under: Sarscypridopsis aculeata
Lineage: Eukaryota; Metazoa; Arthropoda; Ostracoda; Podocopida; Cyprididae
Also listed under: 1 other name
Description: SSU rRNA
Rfam family: Eukaryotic small subunit ribosomal RNA
Source: RNAcentral
UCCGGGGGAAGUAUGGUUGCAAAGCUGGAACUUAAAGGAAUUGACGGAAGGGCACCACCAGGAGUGGAGCCUGUGGCUUAAUUUGACUCAACACGGGGAACCUCACCAGGUCAGGACACCGGGAGGAUUGACAGAUUGAGAGCUCUUUCUCGAUUCGGUGGAUGGUGGUGCAUGGCCGUUCUUAGUUGGUGGAGUGAUUUGUCUGGUUAAUUCCGAUAACGAACGAGACUCUGGCCUGCUAAAUAAGGCGGCGGGUCCCCAACCCCAGCCGUCCCUGCGGGGUGUUGGUCGGCCGGGCUUCGGCCUGUGUCGCGCCUUCCCUCGUCUGGGUUCGGACGGGGCCGCCCGCAGUGAAUGAAAUCUUCUUAGAGGGACAAGGCAGCUUCAAGCUGCGUGAAAUGGGGCAAUAACAGGUCUGUGAUGCCCUUAGAUGUCCUGGGCAGCACACGCGCUACAAUGUGGUCAAAAGCGUGUCUAAAAGUCCUGGCCCGAAAUGGGUCGGGUAACCCUGUCAAUUGACCCCGUGCUGGGGAUUGAGGUUUGCAAUUUUCCUUCAUGAACGAGGAAUUCCCAGUAGGUGCGGGUCAUCAGCCCGCGCCGACUACGUCCCUGCCCUUUGUA